UAGUCUGGUGCCAGCAGCCGCGGUAAUUCCAGCUCCAAUAGCGUAUAUUAAAGUUGUUGCAGUUAAAACGCUCGUAGUCGGAUUUCGGGGCAGGUUUGCCGGUCUGCCGAUGGGUAUGCACUGGUAGAACUGUCCUUCCUUCCGGAGACGGCGCCUACUCUUAACUGAGCGGGUGUCGGAGACGGAUCGUUUACUUUGAAAAAAUCAGAGUGUUUCAAGCAGGCAGCUCGCUUUUGCAUGGAUUAGCAUGGGAUAAUGAAAUAGGACUUUGGUGCUAUUUUGUUGGUUUCGAACACCGAAGUAAUGAUUAACAGGGACAGUCAGGGGCACUCGUAUUCCGCCGAGAGAGGUGAAAUUCUUAGACCAGCGGAAGACGAACCACUGCGAAAGCAUUUGCCAGGGAUGUUUUCACUGAUCAAGAACGAAAGUUAGGGGAUCGAAGACGAUCAGAUACCGUCGUAGUCUUAACCAUAAACCAUGCCGACUAGGGAUUGGAGGAUGUUCCUAUGUGACUCCUUCAGCACCUUUCGGGAAACUAAAGUCUUUGGGUUCCGGGGGGAGUAUGGUCGCAAGGCUGAAACUUAAAGGAAUUGACGGAAGGGCACCACCAUGGCGUGGAGCCUGCGGCUUAAUUUGACUCAACACGGGGAAACUUACCAGGUCCAGACACAAUAAUGAUUGACAGAUUGAUAGCUCUUUCUUGAUUCUGUGGGUGGUGGUGCAUGGCCGUUCUU
Molecule: ribosomal RNA, 734 nt
Filed under: uncultured eukaryote
Lineage: Eukaryota
Description: SSU rRNA
Rfam family: Eukaryotic small subunit ribosomal RNA
Source: RNAcentral